Molecule: long non-coding RNA, 415 nt
Organism: Rhipicephalus microplus (southern cattle tick)
Lineage: Eukaryota; Metazoa; Arthropoda; Arachnida; Ixodida; Ixodidae
Source: RefSeq, a predicted model, not a curated record
GUCGCGAUGAACAAAUGAUUUAAGAAGUGCACAGCAAUUUAAUUCUAAUCUGCGCACGUUCACGGCAACGAAAACCAUCCAAGAAAAGUCACAGGUUUGAAGCUGGUUGUUUCACUUUCUGCAUAACAUUUCCAUAAGCGUUUUUUUUGUACGAAUAUUUGCCAACUGUUGCGACGAGAACGCAACAAAAGCAUACUCGCCAAUACAUUGAAGAUUGCCUCGCAGACACACGUGGGUAAAUUAAGCGUGGAAAACGUAAUUAUGCUUUGUUUCUACCUUUUCGGGACAAUAUUUUGGACGUUCUUCUGUGCAAAAAAAUGUUGGACGAACGAAAAAAAGUCAUGUAUGAUGGUCAAGUCCUUAACUUGACAAGCCCUUGCGUCAGUUACAGCUGCCAUAAAGGAAAUAUUACGAC